This 270-nucleotide ribosomal RNA is filed under the name uncultured prokaryote. Its description in RNAcentral is "partial 16S ribosomal RNA". It matches the Rfam family "Bacterial small subunit ribosomal RNA", at positions 524 to 792 of the family's 1533-position model. The record is from RNAcentral.
AACGUGACCCCCAAGCGUUACCCGGAAUAACUGGGCGUAAAGCGUUCGUAGGCGGUAAAGUUAGUCUAAGGUCAAAGCCCUCGGGCUCAACCUGAGGAAGGCCUUAGAUACUGCUUUACUUGAGGGCGUUAGAGGCUGAUGGAACACACGGUGUAGGGGUGGAAUCCGUUGAUAUCGUGUGGAACACCGAAAGCGAAGGCAUUCAGCUGGAGCGACCCUGACGCUGAGGAACGAAAGCCAGGGGAGAGAAUGGGAUUAGAUACCCCAGUA